This 508-nucleotide ribosomal RNA is filed under the name uncultured bacterium. Its description in RNAcentral is "partial 16S ribosomal RNA". It matches the Rfam family "Bacterial small subunit ribosomal RNA", at positions 28 to 523 of the family's 1533-position model. The record is from RNAcentral.
GAUGAACGCCAGCUACAGGCUUAACACAUGCAAGUCGAGGGGAAACGACAUCGAAAGCUUGCUUUUGAUGGGCGUCGACCGGCGCACGGGUGAGUAACGCGUAUCCAACCUGCCCACCACUUGGGGAUAACUUUGCGAAAGUAAGACUAAUACCCAAUGGCGUCUCUAGAAGACAUCUGAAAGAGAUUAAAGAUUUAUCGGUGAUGGAUGGGGAUGCGUCUGAUUAGCUUGUUGGCGGGGUAACGGCCCACCAAGGCGACGAUCAGUAGGGGUUCUGAGAGGAAGGUCCCCCACAUUGGAACUGAGACACGGUCCAAACUCCUACGGGAGGCAGCAGUGAGGAAUAUUGGUCAAUGGACGAGAGUCUGAACCAGCCAAGUAGCGUGCAGGAUGACGGCCCUAUGGGUUGUAAACUGCUUUUAUAAGGGAAUAAAGUGAGAGUCGUGGCUCUUUUUGCAUGUACCUUAUGAAUAAGGACCGGCUAAUUCCGUGCCAGCCGCCGCAGUAA